Molecule: long non-coding RNA, 4161 nt
Filed under: Equus caballus (horse)
Lineage: Eukaryota; Metazoa; Chordata; Mammalia; Perissodactyla; Equidae
Description: lncRNA (ENSECAG00000038732.3)
Source: RNAcentral
CCUGCAGAGUCCUUCCGUCAGUGAGACCAGAGAGUUGCUCAGAGUUGGGGCCACCAGCGGGUCUCAUGGCCACCUCUCUUCGAGAAGGAUUGGGAGGCCCAGCUGCAUGAGUCCUGCCUACCCAGGCUUCCCAGUGGGCCUUUGUCAAGGGUGCUUAGCUGCCUGAGGGCAGGAAGGAAGGAAGGACUAAGUCCUUCUCUAGGCACAUGUGAGCAGGAGGAGAGAGGAAGAACGGGGCAGGCCAUCAGUAUCCUGUACGGAUGGCAUGAUAGGAUGUAAAAGUGGAACAUGUAACAAAGCAGUGGCAUCAGCUACAGCGCAUAGGAAGAGCCCAGGUGCCCACAGCUGUCAAGGAUAAAACAGGCAUUUGAGAGCAGGAAGGCACCAAGUAUAAUUCCUCAACUUUAAAGAUAUAAAACAGGUCUGAUAAGAGCAUCCUCUCUUCUGCUGAUUAUCAUUUUCCACCUUGUAGAUAUUCAUGUCAAGCCUCGUCCCUGCUGAACUGAGGUCUCUUUGAGAGCCUGAUCUUCAGCCCAGGUUGCCUGAUUCCUGGUUUGGGGCCCAUUACAUCUUUGAUUCUACUGUAUUACUCACUUUGCAUCAAGAUAGGAAGAAUGGUUCUCCCUACGUGUUGCAUGUGAUCUAGUCGAGGAGUACUGUGGACAGGAUGACUUCCUCUAGAUGCAAGAGCAGACGCAGUUGAGGAUUCCAUGUUCAUCUGGCUGAGUGGAGUCAACCAGCAUGUUAGAGGUAUAACAUCCGUGAGUCUCACUCAUACACAGAGAAAUCUGGCCAGAAGAGCAAUCCCAAUGACUCAAGAUAGUCUCCCAAUCCUGAAAACGUGAAAAAGAUUUAGCCUAUGUCCUCAUUUGGGAUGUGGUCAGUUAUAGCAACCUUAAUUUGCUGGCUUUCUUUUCAGAAGAGCAUAUCCCGUCUAUAGUGUAAUGGGUUCGGAAGGCGAGUUACCUCUGUUUCCUCUUUGAGGACAAACUGCAUGAAGCUUGCUACGUUCUCUGCCACUGGGGUUAGAAGGGCCAUGAGCUGGGAUAUGCAGUGAUUAAACACUGUCAAGAUGAGGGCCCCUGAGGCAAGGAUCGCCGCCUUCACUCUCCCCCAGAGCCUACGGGGCGUGUAAACCUUGAGACCAACCAAGUAUUUCCUGAAGAUUUGUGCUGUGUUCAGUGCUAAGUUAAUUUUCAGCUUGCAGUCACUUAUGGUGGUAACUUCCAUAUUCAUGCAAAAUUCUUCUUUGACUAGGAUUAUUCAGGGUAACAUUUAAAGACUCUCUCUGAAUCCUUACUGUGUGAGAAUGGCUGAUCUGAAUAAUUUUGUGCAGAGGUGUUGAUUAUGGACUGAAGGUUUAUAUUUUUGUGUUAAUUUCAGGUAAGCCCUCUCUCUCAUUUAUUUGACAUUAACGUAACUGGAUAAUUUUGAAAUUCUGGUGGUUGUAUUUUUAAAUCCACAAAACAAAGUUCCAGUGCAAGUAGGUAUUUUUCACCAGCCAAAAGAUUUGAGUAUGUUGUAAAUAUUACAAAAAGGGCAAUAUUCUAGUCUAGCUACACGCCUACAGAUUUAUUUUUUGUGAACCCUAGAUCUAAGCUUUGUAUGGUGCACUCGCAGUAUCCACCUUGUCUAUCACCUCAGGCCGUAUUCAGUAUUUCCUCACUUAAAAUCCAUAAAGGUUUGGAUGAUCACAUCUCUACACGCAGUGGUCCUUUGGGCAUCCCUUUGAUUCUUUUGAAUUAGGAGAUGUUAGAAGUGGAAAAGACCAGUGAUACAUAUAAACCAGCAGUGUCCGAAUUCUUUUUUGUGGACCAACUGUGUCCAAGUCAAGACACCUGGGGACCUUUAAAGCCAUACAGAUCCUAGGACUCCAACCCCCAUAAAUUCUCCUUCAUUAGAAGGAUUGGGGUCUGGUCCUGGAAUCUAUAUUUUAAAAAAUGUGAUGCUCAGUUGAAUUUGGAAACAGAUGGCCUCUAGUAUAACACCCUGAUUUUGUAGAAGUAAACUGAGAUCCACAAAGGACAGAGGAAACAUACAUGGACACACAGCUGGAAAAUGACCCAGCAUGUAUAUCCUCAGUCUCCUUCAUCCUGAUUUCAUCACCAUGCUCUAAUUAUGAUGACAAUAUAACAAUCAAUGAUAACUCUGCCUACAACCACUACUCAACAUCUAUGCCUAUUGUGUACCUCCUUAGUACUGACCCUGAUGCCUCAUUUGCUUUGAUCCUCCUAAGAACACUUAUGAGAUAUGCCUUAUCUGCUUCCUAGGAUAACCAGGCCUCACAGUACCUGCUCAUAUAACCAAGCUCCUUUAAUGGUGUUUCUAUGUAUUUCCUGAUGACACGGUGAAUGACUGAGUCAGGACACUGUUAAUACUUUCCACUGGGAAACUGACCCUGGAAGGUUACAAUGCCCAUGAUUAGGAAUCAGAAGAUUACAGACAUAAAUGGCACAGAAGAAGGCAUUUUUAAAAGAGCUAAAUCUAAUGUUGUUCAUAAGUCUUCUACCGUGUUCUGAGGUUGCCAGAAUUGAUCAUUGCUACUUUAUUUUAAUCAGGAGCUGAAACUUUCUUGGUUACUGUCAAGUGGGAAAAUUCUCAGUGCUAAAAUAAUUUCCAGGUCCAAUCAAAACAAGCUUCCCCUCAAAAAACUGUCGAAAAUCUCAACAUGCAAUAGAUGUGUUAUGGACUUAUAAAAAUGGAGCCUGAUACUCCCCAGAGUCCUUUCCUGAUGAGGCUUCUGGAGGCACAGGAUUCCCUGAGAUGGAUUUUCCCAGAGGGAAUCUGGAGAAAGGUUUCAAGACAGAUUUUCCUUUGUGAGUGAAUGCCCUGGCAGAGGUGGGGGAGUGAACAGGCAGAUCCACCCAGGAUUUCAGAGCUCUGGGCGUUAGGCUACCUUAUCUCAGCUGGGCUGACUUCUCGCCAACAUCCUCAGUGCCAACCGCUCCUGUAGGUAAAACAAGACUGGCCACUCAGAGUUUAACAUCCUCGAGCUACUGUGAUAAGUUCAAGAAAGGCCACAAGAUCUGAGCUGGACCAAAUAGGGCAAAUGGGAUCCCAUCUUGGAAUCUGUUGGAGCUAUCAGGGGAAAAACAUUUUUUUUUUCUUUUGUAGUAUUCAAGAAGAUGGGACAUAAGCUUAGAGCUCCUGACGUCUUGUCACCAGGAAGGGAGAAGUUAACUAAGAGCUCAGCCACUCUAGAGGAAAGCAGAGAAAUUGAUGCAAGGGUCCUAAUGACAUUGUUUGAGCUCCUGGAUACAACCGUGUUUGAAGUCUCGUAUAUCCAUGAACUUUGCAGUUGUGUGAACCAAUCUAUUUCUUUUUGGCUCUUGCUCAAGUCAAUUGUUCGCAGACAUUUCUGUGCAUCAAAUCACCUGAGGAGCUUGUUAAAAUGUAGAUUUCUAUGCCCCACCUUCAGGUGGAUCUAUGGUGGGAACCAAAACCUUGCAUUUCAAAUAAUUUUCUAGGAGAUGCUGUGGCUGCUGGUCCAGGGGCCAUACUUUGAGAACCAUUGGCUUAGGAGCCUUUUUUGGUUUCUGCUGCUGAUAACCCAAACUGUCUUGAUUGACAUCAGAAGAUCUUUUCUAAAUGGAAAAAGAAUCCGAUGCGUAGAAGAAUUAAUAGAAUGAGAUAAAAUAAUGUGUUUGGGAACUAGUCAAUAAGCACUUGAAAAAGGACAUGGCCAUCCCUCAUGACUGCUUUGGACCAAACCAACAUUUUGUAAGGUGGUUUUCCACUGUCCAUAUGGCUAAAGGCAAGGCCGUUCGAGUUUAUGACAAAUGAGCAAAAACAGCAGGACUAAUACAUGUUUUGUCGAAGACUUAAAACCCGUGCAUUGAGAAAAUGCACAUUUUUCGCUCUGAUCCAGUCUGUCAACAAAAUGCUUUUCAUGAGAAACAUCAAAGCCAUUUCAUCUGCAAGUUUCAUUUUUUUGAAUCCCUUAAUCUACACUGUUGACAAAAAUUUCUGUCAAGUGCCUCAAACCAUUGUAUUAACAAAUUUUAUUUUGUCAGUCAUGAUUUAGCCCCCUUGCAAAGACGGUUUGUAAUAUUCCGCUCCAUCCUGCAGGAGGAAUACUUAACUGUUAAUGCCUCAAUCUUAAUAUUGAAAGCAACUGAAGAGAGAAAGUAAAAGUGGUGUGCUCAUUUAGCACAUCUGUUG